ACGAACCGUACAAACGUUAUUCGGAAUUACUGGGCUUAAAGGGUGCGUAGGCGGCCCGGAAAGUUGGAUGUGAAAUCCCUCGGCUUAACCGAGGAAUUGCGUUCAAAACUACCGGGCUUGAGGAAGGCAGAGGUGAGUGGAACUUAGGGUGGAGCGGUGAAAUGCGUUGAUAUCCUAAGGAACACCAGUGGCGAAAGCGACUCACUGGGCCUUUUCUGACGCUGAGGCACGAAAGCCAGGGGAGCGAACGG
Molecule: ribosomal RNA, 251 nt
Filed under: uncultured prokaryote
Description: partial 16S rRNA
Rfam family: Bacterial small subunit ribosomal RNA
Source: RNAcentral